Chlorocebus sabaeus (green monkey) is the source of this 109-nucleotide microRNA precursor. Lineage: Eukaryota; Metazoa; Chordata; Mammalia; Primates; Cercopithecidae. The record is from Ensembl.
UGAGGCAGGAGAAUGGCUUGAACAUGGGAGGUGGAAGUUGCAGUGAGCUGAGAUGGUGCCACUGCACUCCAGCCUGGGUGACAGAGACUCCGUCUCAAAAAAAAAAAAA